Molecule: non-coding RNA, 1141 nt
Organism: Hydra vulgaris (swiftwater hydra)
Lineage: Eukaryota; Metazoa; Cnidaria; Hydrozoa; Anthoathecata; Hydridae
Source: RefSeq, a predicted model, not a curated record
UAAUUUGCUAUCUGGUUUAUAUAUUGUUUCAAAUUUAUGGUGAAUAUUUGUAGGUCGUCACGAUUUUGUCAGUUACAUAAUUGUUUGUUACUGAUCCUAACUUUGUAUUUUCUAUAAAGUGAAAUAAAAUGAUUGAUUAAUAUCUUUAUUUGCUUUUAAGCCUUAUUUAAUAUUUAAUAAUUAGUUUAAUUAUUAAAUUUUUAUAUGUAUUUAAUUGAGAAUCUUUUUUGGAACCACAUGGUUAUCUUAUGUUAUAGAGUCAAUAAGAUUAUUUGUUGGAUAUACAACAGAGUUAAAAAAAAAAACAACAGGUUUAUCUAAUGUUAUCGUGGAGUCCACGAGUUGUGAUUUAUUGGAUAAAUAACGUAAGAUAUUUUUUGUAUAAGGUAUCUCAAGAAACUUCAUUGUCAAUAAACAAGGUACAAUGUUUUUGUUAUGUUGCAUACCCAUAAAUUUUGUUUAUAUAUAUUUAUAGUUUUUAUAAGUAGUAUUUCAUUAAAAGUAAUUUUUGAAACAACAGGGUUAGCUAAUAUUAUCUUAAAGUAAAUGAGUUGUGAUUUAAUGAAGAAACAAAGUAAGGUUUUUCUUUUAUAUGGUUUCCUUAGAAACCUUAUAUAUUUUUAUAUGUUGUAUUUCAUUGAGAGUAUUUUUUAAAACAACAUAAUUAUCUAAUGUUAUGGAGUCAUUGAGUUGUGGUUUAUUGGAUAAACAACGUAAGAUAUUUUUUAAUAUAUGGCGUUUCAUGAAACUUAGUUGAUUUAUAUUUAUAGUUUUUAUAUGUUUUAUUUCGUUCAGAGUAUUUUUUGGAACAAUAUGAUUAUCUAAUGUUAUCAUGAAGUCAACGAGUUGUGAUUUAUUGAAUAAACAAUUUUUAACAAAUUGGUUUGAGAACACAAGAAUAUUGGAAGUCAAGUUUUGAGAAGAGCAUCAAACACUGCCUAGAUCAAGAUCUUAUUAGCAAAGUGUGCAAAAAAAAUGGGGCUUGGCAAGCAAUAAAUAUAGAUAUAUCGAGAAGUAUCAAACGUUAGCUCAUGCAAGCAUCAAGUUUGAAUUAUUGUAGAAGUUUAACUUUUCGCUAACCUUAAACUUUUAUAUGUAUUGUAUUGAAAGAAUAUUUUAUUGAAAUAAAAAUAUUUGGUAA